Molecule: transfer RNA, 99 nt
Filed under: Ceratobasidium sp. 428
Lineage: Eukaryota; Fungi; Basidiomycota; Agaricomycetes; Cantharellales; Ceratobasidiaceae
Description: tRNA-Ala
Rfam family: tRNA
About the family: Transfer RNA (tRNA) molecules are approximately 80 nucleotides in length. Their secondary structure includes four short double-helical elements and three loops (D, anti-codon, and T loops).
Source: RNAcentral
GGGCAUAUGGUGUAGUGGUAUCACGCCUCAUUUGCAGUCACAUCAGUAAUGGUGUCACGCGGCUUGAGGCGGCCCAGGGUUCGAUCCCCUGUGUGUCCA